This is a long non-coding RNA of Oncorhynchus keta (chum salmon), 2446 nucleotides long. RefSeq lists it as uncharacterized. The record is from RefSeq and is a predicted model, not a curated record. The transcript is spliced from 5 exons. Lineage: Eukaryota; Metazoa; Chordata; Actinopteri; Salmoniformes; Salmonidae.
AAUAUUUAUUGUAACACCAGGGUCAGGCAAACAACAGGUUAAGGCAGGCAGGGGUCGAUAAUCCAGAGUAGGAGCAAAGGUACAAAACGGCAGGCAGGCUCAGGCCGAGUUCAGUAAUCCAGAGGUGGAGUAAAGGUAGAGGACGGCAGGUAGGCUCAGGGAGAGUUCAGUAAUCCAGAGGUGGAGUAAAGGUAGAGGACGGCAGGUAGGCUCAGGGAGAGUUCAGUAAUCCAGAGGUGGAGUAAAGGUAGAGGACGGCAGGUAGGCUCAGGGAGAGUUCAGUAAUCCAGAGGUGGAGUAAAGGUAGAGGACGGCAGGCAGGCUCAGGCCGAGUUCAGUAAUCCAGAGGUGGAGUAAAGGUACAGGACGGCAGGCAGGCUCAGGCCGAGUUCAGUAAUCCAGAGGUGGAGUAAAGGCAGAGGACGGCAGGUAGGCUCAGGGAGAGUUCAGUAAUCCAGAGGUGGAGUAAAGGUACAGGACGGCAGGCAGGCUCAGGCCGAGUUCAGUAAUCCAGAGGUGGAGUAAAGGUACAGGACGGCAGGCAGGCUCAGGCCGAGUUCAGUAAUCCAGAGGUGGAGUAAAGGUAGAGGACGGCAGGUAGGCUCAGGGAGAGUUCAGUAAUCCAGAGGUGGAGUAAAGGUAGAGGACGGCAGGCAGGCUCAGGCCGAGUUCAGUAAUCCAGAGGUGGAGUAAAGGUACAGGACGGCAGGCAGGCUCAGCCAGAGUGGUCAGGCAGGCGGGUACAGGCAGAGUUCAGUAAUCCAGAGGUGGAGUAAAGGUAGAGGACGGCAGGCAGUUUCAGGCAGAGUUCAGUAAUCCAGAGGUGGAGUAAAGGUAGAGGACGGCAGGUAGGCUCAGGGAGAGUUCAGUAAUCCAGAGGUGGAGUAAAGGUAGAGGACGGCAGGUAGGCUCAGGGAGAGUUCAGUAAUCCAGAGGUGGAGUAAAGGUAGAGGACGGCAGGUAGGCUCAGGGAGAGUUCAGUAAUCCAGAGGUGGAGUAAAGGUAGAGGACGGCAGGCAGUUUCAGGCAGAGUUCAGUAAUCCAGAGGUGGAGUAAAGGUAGAGGACGGCAGGUAGGCUCAGGGAGAGUUCAGUAAUCCAGAGGUGGAGUAAAGGUAGAGGACGGCAGGUAGGCUCAGGGAGAGUUCAGUAAUCCAGAGGUGGAGUAAAGGUAGAGGACGGCAGGUAGGCUCAGGGAGAGUUCAGUAAUCCAGAGGUGGAGUAAAGGUACAGGACGGCAGGCAGGCUCAGGGAGAGUUCAGUAAUCCAGAGGUGGAGUAAAGGUACAGGACGGCAGGCAGGCUCAGGGAGAGUUCAGUAAUCCAGAGGUGGAGUAAAGGUAGAGGACGGCAGGCAGGCUCAGGGAGAGUUCAGUAAUCCAGAGGUGGAGUAAAGGUAGAGGACGGCAGGUAGGCUCAGGGAGAGUUCAGUAAUCCAGAGGUGGAGUAAAGGUACAGGACGGCAGGCAGGCUCAGGGAGAGUUCAGUAAUCCAGAGGUGGAGUAAAGGUACAGGACGGCAGGCAGGCUCAGGGAGAGUUCAGUAAUCCAGAGGUGGAGUAAAGGUACAGGACGGCAGGCAGGCUCAGGCCGAGUUCAGUAAUCCAGAGGUGGAGUAAAGGUAGAGGACGGCAGGCAGGCUCAGCCAGAGUGGUCAGGCAGGCGGGUACAGGGUCAUGACAGGCAAGGAAGGCAGGGAAAGACAUGCGCUGACAGGACGAACGCUGGUAAACUUGACAAACAAGACAAACUGGCAGGGACAGACAGGAAACACAGGUAUAAAUACCAAGGGGGUAAGUGGGGAAGAUGGGCGACACCUGGUGGGGGUGGAGACAAGCAUAAGGACAGGUGAAACAGAUCAGGGCGUGACACAGGUGUAGUAAGGAUUCACUCCAUGGUGCAACAAAAGAAAGCUCUGCUGUUGGGACAGCUUUACGUCGGCCCUAACAGUUUAUGGGCACCGCUUGUCACCUGUUAUAGUGCAAGCAAUGUAUUGUUUAGUGUUGUGUUGUGUUGGCUUUGCUGGCAUGCAUAAAAAAUAUAUGUUUUGAGUUUGCCCCACCAAUAUUUACAUGCUAAAGUCAUCACUGUGUGUAACUAGUCCACAGCCUGUACUAGGUAAGAUGCCCAAAUAAUAAUUUCUAGUUGAAUGAACAUGAGACAAUUUGAGCAAAUUCAUUUUUUUAAGUUAACAUACUUUUUUACCUACAUUUUCUCAAUUUGGAGCUAAGUUUUUUGUUUGUUGUUAGUAGCAGUUACUUAAUAAAUAUUAGUUAAAACAACUCUAUUAUGUUUUGGUGCAGUGUUUUGAACAUCUUUCAACUGCUUCACUAAUGUUGAUGAAUAUCUCUCUCAAGGGAAGCAAUGGUUGUUUUAACUAUAGCCUGUGGUGUAUCAGAACUUGUGUGUUUGCAGUACCCACUCUCUCCUUGUCUCUCCAUUCCCUUCU